Molecule: ribosomal RNA, 245 nt
Filed under: uncultured bacterium
Lineage: Bacteria
Description: partial small subunit ribosomal RNA
Rfam family: Bacterial small subunit ribosomal RNA
Source: RNAcentral
AGAAUCAACGCUGGCGGCGUGCCUAACACAUGCAAGUCGCACGAGAAAGGGGAGCAAUCCAUGAGUAAAGUGGCGCACGGGUGAGUAACACGUGAAUUAUCUACCUCCGAGUGGGGAAUAACUGAGAGAAAUCUUAGCUAAUACCGCAUAACACUUACGAGUCAAAGCAGCAAUGCGCUUGGAGAGGAGUUCGCGGCCGAUUAGUUAGUUGGCGGGGUAAUGGCCCACCAAGACGAUGAUCGGUA